This 645-nucleotide long non-coding RNA is filed under the name Sarcophilus harrisii (Tasmanian devil). Its description in RNAcentral is "lncRNA (ENSSHAG00000021259.1)". The record is from RNAcentral. Lineage: Eukaryota; Metazoa; Chordata; Mammalia; Dasyuromorphia; Dasyuridae.
CUAUAAUUUCGGGUCUCAUAGGCUUCAAGUGGUGUUAGCAUGGAGAACAUUAGUCAAAACUAAGGCGCAGAGCAUCUCGGCUGCUGAAGAACCUGGAAUGCUGAUCCCAGUACUCUGUCCUUCUCUAUAUCUAAUCUCAGACUAGGACUUUAUGUGAGAUGGGCUUUUUGUGUUUUGAGAUUUUUUUCUCCUUGUCCUAUGUGGACAAGAUAGCUGUGCAAAUCACUUCACAGUGUUCAUCUAGAAAAUAACAGUUUCCAUUUAUAAGGCACUUUAUACAUCUUAUGAUCAUACACAGAUGAGGAAAUUGAGACAGAGGUUUAAUGAUCUGCCCAGCAAGUGUCUGACGCUACACUUAAACUGCACUAUCUAGAUGACUAAAUUCUGGCUUGGAGAGAUGCCCAAACUGCCCAUGCCUCCAACAUGACUCGCUUCCUCAAGACAAUUCUAGGGCCACUCCUCUUCAGGUAUGGAAAGAGUUUUUUACUGGAAUCCAAAUAUCAACCUUGAAUUUCAAGAGUUAAAGAAGACACCUUGCUAGGUGACUUAUGGGCCAAUCAUUUCAGUGAUUCAAGACAAUUCCCAAGAAUUAAUGAUGAAAAAAUGCUGUCCACCUCCUGAGAAAGAACUGUUGAAGUCUGAAUG